This 72-nucleotide transfer RNA is filed under the name Camelus ferus (Wild Bactrian camel). It matches the Rfam family "tRNA". Rfam says of the family: Transfer RNA (tRNA) molecules are approximately 80 nucleotides in length. Their secondary structure includes four short double-helical elements and three loops (D, anti-codon, and T loops). Lineage: Eukaryota; Metazoa; Chordata; Mammalia; Artiodactyla; Camelidae. The record is from Rfam by way of RNAcentral.
GAGGGUGUAGCUCAGAGGCAGAACACAUGCCCAGUAUGCACGAGGUCCUGGGUUCCAUCCCCAGUACCUCCA